AAGGCUUUAAGUUAAUUAAACUAAUAGCCUUCAAAGCUAUAAAUAAAGGCAGGAAUUCUUUAAGCCUUA
This 69-nucleotide transfer RNA is filed under the name Nemoura meniscata. Its description in RNAcentral is "tRNA-Trp". It matches the Rfam family "tRNA". Rfam says of the family: Transfer RNA (tRNA) molecules are approximately 80 nucleotides in length. Their secondary structure includes four short double-helical elements and three loops (D, anti-codon, and T loops). Further hydrogen bonds mediate the characteristic L-shaped molecular structure. tRNAs have two regions of fundamental functional importance: the anti-codon, which is responsible for specific mRNA codon recognition, and the 3' end, to which the tRNAs corresponding amino acid is attached (by aminoacyl-tRNA synthetases). tRNAs cope with the degeneracy of the genetic code in two manners: having more than one tRNA (with a specific anti-codon) for a particular amino acid; and 'wobble' base-pairing, i.e. permitting non-standard base-pairing at the 3rd anti-codon position. Lineage: Eukaryota; Metazoa; Arthropoda; Insecta; Plecoptera; Nemouridae. The record is from RNAcentral.